AGAACGAACGCUGGCGGCAGGCCUCAAACAUGCAAGUCUAGGGGGUGUAGCAAUACAUCACCGGCGGACGGGUGCGUAACGCGUGGGAAUGUACCUAUUGGUUCGGAACAACUGAGGGAAACUUCAGCUAAUACCGGAUGAGCCCGAAAGGGGGAAAGAUUUCUCGCCAAUAGAUCAGCCCGCGUCCGAUUAGCUAGUUGGUGGGGUUAAAGCCUACCAAGGCGACGAUCGGUAGCUGUUCUGAGAGGAAGAUCAGCCACACUGGGACUGAGACACGGCCCAGACUCCUACGGGAGGCAGCAGUUGGGAAUCUGGACAAUGGGGGAAACCCUGAUCCAGCCAUGCCGCGUGAGUGAUGAAGGCCUUCGGGUUGUAAAACUCUUUCGACGGGACGAUAAUGACGGUACCCGUAGAAGAGCUCCGGCUAACUUCGUGCCAGCAGCCGC
This 446-nucleotide ribosomal RNA is filed under the name uncultured bacterium. Its description in RNAcentral is "SSU rRNA". It matches the Rfam family "Bacterial small subunit ribosomal RNA", at positions 26 to 518 of the family's 1533-position model. The record is from RNAcentral.